ACUAACAACUGAGAAUCAGUUGUUUUAAAGGAAGAGAAAGAGACAAAUCUUUAAUUCCCUGUAAUCAGUACAAAAGCUGACCCCUUUCACUCUUAUAUUCAAUCCUAAAAUACUGUUUUUCCCUUAAAUACGAAAACCAAUUUUUUUUCUUUGCUUGGGAUUAAAUUCAGACAGAUUUUUUUAAUUGGCGAUUCGAAAAACAUCGACACCAUCCCACAAAGAUUUCAACUUUUCAAAAAUGGUUUUGCUAAGGUUGUGACAAGGAAUAUGGUGUCUUUAGGAUCCAGUUCUAUGCUUAAUUUCCGUGGUAUGAAUGGAGAGAAGAGGUCAUUCUUUGAUUCAUUAGAUUAAGAAGACAAUGAAGCUGAUGAAUUGGGGGAGUAUUUUCAUCAAGAAGAUAAGAAGAGGCGACUUACGGACAACCAAGUCCAGGUUUUUUUAAAAGUGUUUUAGGGAGGAGAACAAACUUGAACCUGAAAGAAAAGUCCAGCUUCCUAAAGAACUAUGUUUGUAGCCUCAUUGUGCACGAUGAAAGGCUAAGAAGCUUGAGAAAGAGUAUGAGGAACUCAAGAAUAGAUAUGACAAUUUGAAAUCAAAUUACAAUACUCUUCUCAAGGAAAAAGAAAAUCUUAGAGUUGAAGUAAGGAGCUUUACAUUUUAUAUCAUAGUAUAGUUUUAUUUUAUUUUCUAUAAUCUUCUUGUGGACUAUGCUUUAUGUGAUGGUUCAAUCCUUAUUCAUGCUUUCCAACUCACUGAUAAACUGUUUGUCAAGGAGAAAGGAAAUGGGUAAUUAGCUUUAGGCGAUAUACAGAAACACUCUGAUGCCUCGGUGAAACAAUCUUUGGCUGAUCCAAUUUCGAAGAUAGAACUAUUCAAUGUGCCAACACGAAUUCUUAAACACCAGAAGCAAGAAGAUUUAAG
Molecule: long non-coding RNA, 921 nt
Organism: Capsicum annuum
Lineage: Eukaryota; Viridiplantae; Streptophyta; Magnoliopsida; Solanales; Solanaceae
Exons: 2
Source: RefSeq, a predicted model, not a curated record